RNAcentral lists this long non-coding RNA (1071 nucleotides) under Piliocolobus tephrosceles (Ugandan red Colobus). RNAcentral's name for it is "lncRNA (ENSPTEG00000016055.1)". Lineage: Eukaryota; Metazoa; Chordata; Mammalia; Primates; Cercopithecidae. The record is from RNAcentral.
AAUUAUACAACUAAUAGUCACAAACCCAAGUCGGCUAAUGUGAAAACAGGCAUAAUCCAAAAUGUGUUUAUUUAAAUAUAAUCCCCAAUGUAUAAAAAUGUAGAAGAAAAGAAAAGAAAAAAAAAAAAAAAUGAUAGAGUAUCCAUACCACGUAAUGCGUUUAUAUACACAUAUACAGAUACCGAUUGUGAACAUGUGCUAAUAAAAAAAUUUAUUUACAUAUGUCAAGUUCUAAGUGCCAACAUUUGUGCGUUUUUUUUUUUUUUUUUUUUUUUUUUUUUUUUAACAUUAAAAAAGAAAUGAUUUUGCCGCUAAGUCCUUCCUUAGUACUAUAAAUUAUGUCUUUAAAACGCAUACACAUUUCAAUAAAAUUUCAAAAAGAGCUUAAUAAACUUGUUGAGUUCAAAAAGAAUAGUUUAAAAAAUUCGAACAAACAAAAUCGACACUUCUGUUUUCAUUUUACAAGACGUACUAAAAAAUUAUUAUUUUCAUGUAGUGACGAUCGAAAUGGAAAAGAACAUAAAGAAAGUAAAAAAAGUAAUAUAAUAGUUUAUGAGAAAAAUGAAAAAAAUGAAAAAAAUGAGGAAAUCGAUUUUUUUAACACGUUACUAGGAUGUAAAAGUGAUAACAUGACUAGUAGUAGUCGCAACGCGUCCCCGGUUGUGAAAUUUGCGCCGCUUGAACAAGAAAACAUAUACAUGCUAAAACGACUUAUAAACAAUCUUGAUAAUCUUAACUACGUUCUGAGUAAGCAUGAUGUAAUUUACUCACAACUGUCUGAACUGUUUGCGAAAGAAUUAAAUCGUCCACGAUACUUUCUAAGUUUUGAAGAAAAAAAAAAAAUCGACAUUUGUUUUUCUGGGUACUAUGCUUUAGACGAUGUAGAUAUAAUGUACAUAUUUAAUUUCUACAUGAAACUAAAAAAAUAUUUUUUUUUUUUUUUUACUUUACUCUUAAAAAUAAUAAAACAAAUUGAUCAUUUUUCAAAUAUAAGCAAUGAAACAUGUAUUAUUUUUUUAAAAAACUGUGUAAAAUUGCAAAAGGAAAUACAUAAAAAUUGUACCACAAUUA